CCUACGGGAUGCACCAGUGGGGAAUAUUGGACAAUGGGCGAAAGCCUGAUCCAGCAAUGCCGCGUGUGUGAAGAAGGUCUUCGGAUUGUAAAGCACUUUCGACGGGGACGAUGGUGACGGUACCCGUAGAAGAAGCCCCGGCUAACUUCGUGCCAGCAGCCGCGGUAAGACGGGGGGGGCAAGUGUUCUUCGGAAUGACUGGGCGUAAAGGGCACGUAGGCGGUGAAUCGGGUUGAAAGUGAAAGUCGCCAAAAACUGGCGGAAGACUCUCGAAACCAAUUCACUUGAGUGAGACAGAGGAGAGUGGAAUUUCGUGUGUAGGGGUGAAAUCCGGAGAUCUACGAAGGAACGCCAAAAGCGAAGGCAGCUCUCUGGGUCCCUACCGACGCUGGAGUGCGAAAGCAUGGGGAGCGAACGGGAUUAGAUACCCCUGUAGUC
This 438-nucleotide ribosomal RNA is filed under the name uncultured bacterium. RNAcentral's name for it is "bacterial SSU rRNA". It matches the Rfam family "Bacterial small subunit ribosomal RNA", at positions 338 to 795 of the family's 1533-position model. The record is from RNAcentral.